RNAcentral lists this ribosomal RNA (447 nucleotides) under uncultured bacterium. RNAcentral's name for it is "partial 16S ribosomal RNA". It matches the Rfam family "Bacterial small subunit ribosomal RNA", at positions 29 to 523 of the family's 1533-position model. The record is from RNAcentral.
AACGAACGCUGGCGGCAGGCCUAACACAUGCAAGUCGAACGCAUCGCAAGAUGAGUGGCGCACGGGUGAGUAACACGUGGGAAUGUAUCCUUUGGUUCGGAAUAACGUCUGGAAACGGACGCUAAUACCGGAUGAGCCCUUAGGGGGAAAGAUUUAUCGCCGAAGGAGCAGCCCGCGUCUGAUUAGGUAGUUGGUGGGGUAAAGGCCUACCAAGCCGACGAUCAGUAGCUGGUCUGAGAGGAUGAUCAGCCACACUGGGACUGAGACACGGCCCAGACUCCUACGGGAGGCAGCAGUGGGGAAUAUUGGACAAUGGGCGCAAGCCUGAUCCAGCCAUGCCGCGUGAGUGAUGAAGGCCUUCGGGUUGUAAAGCUCUUUCGCACACGACGAUGAUGACGGUAGUGUGAGAAGAAGCCCCGGCUAACUUCGUGCCAGCAGCCGCCGCCG